CCUACGGGUGGCAGCAGUGAGGAAUAUUGGUCAAUGGGCGGAAGCCUGAACCAGCCAAGUAGCGUGCGGGAUGAAGGCCCUACGGGUCGUAAACCGCUUUUGCACGGGGAUAACACCCUCCACUUGUGGAGGUCUGCAGGUACCGUGCGAAUAAGGGCCGGCUAAUUCCGUUCCAGCAGCCGCGGUAAUACGGAAGGCCCGAGCGUUAUCGGGAUUCAUUGGGCUUAACGGGAGCGAAGGGGGGUGUUAAAUGUAGCGGUAAAAUCGCGCGGCUCAACCGCGCCCCGCAGUUGAAACUGGACGACUUGAGUUCACGACAGGCAGGCGGAAUUCGUGGUGGAGCGGUGAAAUGCAGAGAUAUCACGAGGAACCCCGAUUGCGAAGGCAGCCUGCCGGGGUGCGACUGACGCUGAGGCUCGAAGGUGCGGGUAUCAAACAGGAUUAGAUACCCCUGUAGUC
Molecule: ribosomal RNA, 459 nt
Filed under: uncultured bacterium
Lineage: Bacteria
Description: partial 16S ribosomal RNA
Rfam family: Bacterial small subunit ribosomal RNA
Source: RNAcentral